GCCGGGGUAGCCUAGCUCGGUAGGGCGGGGGACUCGUAAUCCCCAGGUCCCGGGUUCAAAUCCCGGUCCCGGCU
RNAcentral lists this transfer RNA (74 nucleotides) under Thermococcus barophilus. RNAcentral describes it as "tRNA-Thr". It matches the Rfam family "tRNA". Rfam says of the family: Transfer RNA (tRNA) molecules are approximately 80 nucleotides in length. Their secondary structure includes four short double-helical elements and three loops (D, anti-codon, and T loops). Further hydrogen bonds mediate the characteristic L-shaped molecular structure. tRNAs have two regions of fundamental functional importance: the anti-codon, which is responsible for specific mRNA codon recognition, and the 3' end, to which the tRNAs corresponding amino acid is attached (by aminoacyl-tRNA synthetases). tRNAs cope with the degeneracy of the genetic code in two manners: having more than one tRNA (with a specific anti-codon) for a particular amino acid; and 'wobble' base-pairing, i.e. permitting non-standard base-pairing at the 3rd anti-codon position. Lineage: Archaea; Methanobacteriati; Methanobacteriota; Thermococci; Thermococcales; Thermococcaceae. The record is from RNAcentral.